This 253-nucleotide ribosomal RNA is filed under the name uncultured bacterium. RNAcentral describes it as "partial 16S ribosomal RNA". It matches the Rfam family "Bacterial small subunit ribosomal RNA", at positions 524 to 776 of the family's 1533-position model. The record is from RNAcentral.
UACGAAGGGGGCUAGCGUUGCUCGGAAUUACUGGGCGUAAAGGGAGCGUAGGCGGAUAGUUUAGUCAGAGGUGAAAGCCCAGGGCUCAACCCUGGAAUUGCCUUUGAUACUGGCUAUCUUGAGUGUGGGAGAGGUUAGCGGAACUCCGAGUGUAGAGGUGAAAUUCGUAGAUAUCUGGAGGAACACCGGUGGCGAAGGCGGCAUCCUGGACCAAUUCUGACGCUGAGGAGCGAAAGCCAGGGGAGCAAACGGG